GCACUUUAUGGGUAACAGGGCGUAUUCAAGCCUGCGAAUUUUCAAUGAUGCUUUCAAAAACUCAGUUUAUGAGGAGAGAAGUCAAGUCACAGCUUCCUUCUGCGUCCGGGUGAAGUGUGCCUCCUCAGGUGCGGGGACCCCUGCGCUCACUUCCGUCCCACACCUGCUCACUGCUUUGGGAUUGUUCCGUUGUUUAUCUGCUUCUCCACCAGAAUGAUCACUCCACAGGCAAAG
RNAcentral lists this long non-coding RNA (234 nucleotides) under Chinchilla lanigera (long-tailed chinchilla). RNAcentral's name for it is "lncRNA (ENSCLAG00000023288.1)". The record is from RNAcentral. Lineage: Eukaryota; Metazoa; Chordata; Mammalia; Rodentia; Chinchillidae.